This is a long non-coding RNA of Orcinus orca (killer whale), 451 nucleotides long. RefSeq lists it as uncharacterized. The record is from RefSeq and is a predicted model, not a curated record. NCBI's taxonomy places the organism in Eukaryota, Metazoa, Chordata, Mammalia, Artiodactyla, Delphinidae. The transcript has 3 exons.
AAAAGGAAAGAAAGAAAGAAAGAAACCAAAAGAGAAAACAUUGCAUGUUUCUUCAAAACAAAGAUAUUUUCUUUAGAAAAGCUGUAUGAGAAAAGGGAAGGUUUUCUCUGGGCUGAUGUAACGAUUUUCUGAAGAGCGAGAGAGAAGUCAGAAAUUCACUAAAAGAUAUUAAGACUGCAGAAAGAUGUCUUCUCAACAUCAGCAGUGCAAGCAGCCCUGCCAGCCACCACCAGUGUGCACACCAAAAUGCCAUGACCCUUGCCCACCUUGCAAGUGUCCAGACCCUUGCUCACCUAUAAAGUGCCCUGACCCAUGCGUGCCUCAGCAGUGCAAGCAGAAAUGCCCUCCUGGGGCACCUGUUCAACAUUGCUAGCAGAAGUGGCCACCCAAGAGUAUGUAAGAGCUUGAGCUUUUAUCUGCAUCUGGAAAGGAUAAGGACAAUCAGCUCAAC